This 374-nucleotide long non-coding RNA is filed under the name Ananas comosus (pineapple). RNAcentral describes it as "long non-coding RNA (ACOM_LNC031773)". The record is from RNAcentral. Lineage: Eukaryota; Viridiplantae; Streptophyta; Magnoliopsida; Poales; Bromeliaceae.
UAAAAAAAAAAUAUAUAUAUAUAUAUACUAGUUGAGUGUACGUACAAAUGCACGUAACAAUUAAUUAUUUAAUAAUUAUUUUAAAUUAAUAUAAAAUUGUACAUUAUAUUUAUUCAAAAAUUUAUAAUAUUUUAAAAAAUAAAUUUAUUUAUUGGCAAAAAUUUGGAUAAGCAUAAUUUUUUUUUUCUGUUGUAGUGAUAAAAAAAAUUAAAAGUUUGUUUAAUUUUGUUAUUUAUUUUACGUAAGGAAAAAGGAAUCAAUUUUUUUUCCCGCCAAAAAAUAGGCUUGUCAAUAGACCGAAAUUUGAAAUACGUGCUUUUAUAUAUACUAGUAAAAUGUACGUGCAAAUGCACGUAAUAAUUAUUAGAAAAAUU